GGUAUCUGAAGGACAUGCCGCAUUUAUUUUUCAACCCCGAGCAUUUGGAGAAAAGCUGCCCUUUCUCUUGGUUCCCCGAAGCAGAAGCAGGAUUUUGUGGCCGCACACCUACACCUACGGAGGACGAUAUAGAUGUAGCAGCUGAAAAUGAUGAGGGUCAGAUCCAAUCCGGCAGCCUGUGAGAGAGCCGCUGGGUCACGGUUUGCGCGGGCCAGGAAGAGGCUCAUAAAACGCUGUUCCUCUCUCGGUCUUUCGCUCGGCUCUUGGAAUCGUGGGCGCAGAGAGACAGUGAGAGGGGGUGAAGGUUUGAGGUUUGGGGGGGAGGGCGCCAGUCCCACCCCUGGAAGCUAAACGCCCCACUCCGCCCCAGACGCCCCCAGACGCUCCCAGACGCCCCCACACGAGGCUUUUCAUGCUGGGCUGGCAAGGCCAACAGGCUGGCCCAAAACCCCGCCAUUUAACAGACACCCCAGGCCGGCCUGCCAUGGCCACACUUUGAAGGGACACCUGCAGUGAAACUGUAUCUGUAGGGCCCCCAGACUGUAACCUCAUCCUGGCCCCUGGCCCCCCCAGGGGGAGAAGGGGGGGAGCUGGAGUAGACAUCCAGACGUGCCACACCGCCCCUUUGAAGAUUAUUAUAGGUGGCAGUGGAUGACUCCCGAGAGGAGGGGGCGGAGCUUAUCAAGCGUGUGUGAUGCUGACAUCAUCGCAGGGGGCAAUGCAGGUAUGGGGGAGAGGGGGAUGGGUCUCUGGCAGGUACAGACAGCUCACCUGGGUCAGCUUCACCUGUAUAGAAUUCCUAGGAGAAAAAAACUUCUUUGGCCAAAGUGCUCCAGUCUCAAAGAGGGU
Long non-coding RNA from Anguilla anguilla (European eel), 849 nucleotides. RefSeq lists it as uncharacterized. The record is from RefSeq and is a predicted model, not a curated record. NCBI's taxonomy places the organism in Eukaryota, Metazoa, Chordata, Actinopteri, Anguilliformes, Anguillidae. The transcript is spliced from 3 exons.